ACAGCAGCAGCCACGGUAAUACGGAGGGAGCUAGCGUUGUUCGGAAUUACUGGGCGUAAAGCGCACGUAGGCGGCGUUGUAAGUUAGAGGUGAAAGCCUGGAGCUCAACUCCAGAAUUGCCUUUAAGACUGCAUCGCUUGAAUCCGGGAGAGGUGAGUGGAAUUCCGAGUGUAGAGGUGAAAUUCGUAGAUAUUCGGAAGAACACCAGUGGCGAAGGCGGCUUACUGGCUCAUACUGGACGCUGAGGUGCGAAAGCGUGGGGAGCAAACAGGAUUAGAUACCCCAGUAGUCCCUGUCUCUUAUAC
Molecule: ribosomal RNA, 305 nt
Filed under: uncultured bacterium
Lineage: Bacteria
Description: partial 16S ribosomal RNA
Rfam family: Bacterial small subunit ribosomal RNA
Source: RNAcentral